AGAAUCAACGCUGGCGGCGUGCCUAACACAUGCAAGUCGAACGCGGUUACCCCGCAAGGGGUAACUGAGUGGCGAACGGGUAGAGUAACACGUGGGUGACCUACCUUCGAAUGGGGGAUAACGUCCCGAAAGGGACGCUAAUACCGCAUAACAUCCUGUCCUUGAACGGAUGGAGAUCAAAGCCGGGGAUCGUAAGACCUGGCGUUUGAAGAGGGGCCCGCGUCCGAUUAGCUAGUUGGUGAGGUAACGGCUCACCAAGGCGACGAUCGGUAGCCGGCCUGAGACGGGCGCGGCCACGACGUGGGAACUGGACGACACGGCCAGACUCCUAGGGAGCAGCAGUGGGGAACUUGUCGCAAGUGGGCGCGAAGCCUGACGGAACGCAACGCCGCGUAGGAGGAGUGAACGGUUCGUUCGGGAUUACGGUAAACUUCCUUCGGUU
This 442-nucleotide ribosomal RNA is filed under the name uncultured soil bacterium. RNAcentral describes it as "bacterial SSU rRNA". It matches the Rfam family "Bacterial small subunit ribosomal RNA", at positions 26 to 441 of the family's 1533-position model. The record is from RNAcentral.